UUGGGUCCUGUGAAAGAGGGACUGGAUUGUGCUGGGGAUGGACUGGAUGGCCCUGUGGUGGCAUUGGAUGAUACAGUAGAGGUACCGGAUUGUACUGUGGUGGUGUCGGGCGAUGUGGUUGGGGCACCAGGCUAUACUGUGGUGGUGCCGGGUGGUACUGUGGUUGGGGCACCGGAUCAUACUGUGGUGAUGUCGGAUGGUACUGUGGAGGAGUAGGGUCGUACUAGGGUGGCUAAGGAUCCUCCUGCUGUAGUGGUG
Molecule: long non-coding RNA, 258 nt
Filed under: Carica papaya (papaya)
Lineage: Eukaryota; Viridiplantae; Streptophyta; Magnoliopsida; Brassicales; Caricaceae
Description: long non-coding RNA (CPAP_LNC005692)
Source: RNAcentral